UACGUAGGGUGCGAGCGUUAAUCGGAAUUACUGGGCGUAAAGCGUGCGCAGGCGGUUGUGCAAGACAGAGGUGAAAUCCCCGGGCUUAACCUGGGAAUGGCCUUUGUGACUGCACGGCUAGAGUGUGUCAGAGGGGGGUAGAAUUCCACGUGUAGCAGUGAAAUGCGUAGAGAUGUGGACGGAAUACCGAGUGGCGAAGGCAGCCCCUGGGAUA
This 214-nucleotide ribosomal RNA is filed under the name uncultured bacterium. Its description in RNAcentral is "partial 16S ribosomal RNA". It matches the Rfam family "Bacterial small subunit ribosomal RNA", at positions 524 to 736 of the family's 1533-position model. The record is from RNAcentral.